UACGUAGGGGGCUAGCGUUGUCCGGAAUCAUUGGGCGUAAAGAGCGUGUAGGCGGUCCGGUAAGUCCGCUGUGAAAGUCGGGGGCUCAACCCUCGAAUGCCGGUGGAUACUGUCGGGCUAGAGUGCGGAAGAGGCGAGUGGAAUUCCUGGUGUAGCGGUGAAAUGCGCAGAUAUCAGGAGGAACACCUAUUGCGAAGGCAGCUCGCUGGGACGUAACUGACGCUGAGAUGCGAAAGCGUGGGGAGCAAACAGG
This 253-nucleotide ribosomal RNA is filed under the name uncultured bacterium. RNAcentral describes it as "partial 16S ribosomal RNA". It matches the Rfam family "Bacterial small subunit ribosomal RNA", at positions 524 to 776 of the family's 1533-position model. The record is from RNAcentral.